GGGUCACCUGGAAUUGCUGUCUUGUGGGCUGGAGAGCCUUCCAGUCCAAUUGCUAUUUUCCUUUUAAUGGCAACAAGAUGUGGGCUCAGAGUGAAAGCCACUGUAUGGGGACGGGGGCUCAUCUGGCCACCAUCAGCACAGAAGCUGAGCAGAACGUUAUCACUCAAUUUUUGGAUAGCGAUUUUCAUAUUUCCUGGGACUUACAGAUGAGAACCUUGAAGGCCAGUGGCAUUGGGUGGACAAGACACCAUUGAACCCACAGAUGGUAUUCUGGCACGAGAGUGAACCCAACAACUACCAGAAAGAAAAAUGUGUUGUCUUUGUUAAUGACAAAGACAAAUUGGGCCUGGAAUGAUUUUCCUUUUGACUUUAAGACAAGUAGGAUUUGUAAGAUACCUGGAGCAGCAUUCAAC
This is a long non-coding RNA of Lipotes vexillifer (Yangtze River dolphin), 413 nucleotides long. RefSeq lists it as uncharacterized. The record is from RefSeq and is a predicted model, not a curated record. The transcript is spliced from 3 exons. Lineage: Eukaryota; Metazoa; Chordata; Mammalia; Artiodactyla; Lipotidae.